Molecule: long non-coding RNA, 751 nt
Organism: Cavia porcellus (domestic guinea pig)
Lineage: Eukaryota; Metazoa; Chordata; Mammalia; Rodentia; Caviidae
Exons: 2
Source: RefSeq, a predicted model, not a curated record
GCUUGUGCCUGUUUGCAUUUAUGGCUGUCUUAUUUGAAGAGCUUCUGUUUCUGCAUGCAACUGUUUGACUUUUCAUCCUAGCUUCUAUUGUCAUCAUGCCAAAUCUUUGCAUCUGCAAACAUAUGUGAUGUCAUGAUAAGAUAAUAAGGAAUGGGAGGAAAGAGACUGCGUCUUUUGUUGCCUGUCUCCACAUGUGAUACAAGGCCUGAGGACAUGCUGCCUGCCCUGAGACCAUCAGUCCCGCCUUAUUCAUGGAAGUCGCUACACAAUUAGGUGAAGAGGAGGAACUGCGCUUCUCCAAGUCCUGGUGAACUCUGCAGUAGUGGGUGGAAGGAGGAAUUUAAUGAGCUUUAAAAGAAGACAAUAAGGAAGAUACAAAGACAUGGCCAUCUGGACUUAAGCUGUUUGUGAGAAUGUAAGCCUGGUCCCAGAAAACCCUUGGUUAAACUCAGAAAGGAAGCCAAGUAGGCUGAAUUUGCAACAAAAACUGUUUGGCAGAAUCCUUGGGCAAGGCUGUGAGAAUCAGUGCUGUCCACAAUACUGCUGUGGAUUCCUUCAGGUCACAGCAGGAGCACUCGGUGGCUGAGCAAGGUGGCAAGCCAUUGCAGAUGGAGGAGAUCCUAGAAGUCGAGUCCCUGGGAGUAAAGAAGGGGCCAAAGCUCCUAUGAUUGGAGAACUAUGGUGCCUUGGAAGCAAGGUUAUAGAGAUGGAGGAGUUCACCUUGUUCAAACUUUCUGUUUAGAUGGGAAAA